Molecule: long non-coding RNA, 409 nt
Organism: Lutra lutra (Eurasian river otter)
Lineage: Eukaryota; Metazoa; Chordata; Mammalia; Carnivora; Mustelidae
Exons: 4
Source: RefSeq, a predicted model, not a curated record
AGCUGGUAAAACAUUAUUUCUAGGUGAAUGAUGUUGCAGUCUACCUACAUUGAGUGAACAUGGAUUUGGUAAACAAGUAUCAGCAGGCAGGACAAUAUAGCUCCACUGAAAGGAAGGUCGAGCUGCUGAACCUCCACAGUACCAUACAGAAGGGAAGAUUCCUAGGACUUGUGGCUUAAUUUCUCUGGCUACCGCACUAAUCGCACGCAUCCCAUAAUUACUGUCUUUCUUUCUUCCUCCAGACUGUCAUUCUUCUGUCUCUUAGCUCCAUCCCACAGGCAGACAGUGUCUAUACAAAGGCUGAGCUAGUUAGCCAGCCACCUGAGGGAACGCUGUGCCUCCACCACGCUCCCCCGUGCCUUUUUUUCCUCUUUUUUCCCCUUCACUUGUCACCCCUCCCAGCCUCCUU